This 497-nucleotide ribosomal RNA is filed under the name Oreophryne unicolor. Its description in RNAcentral is "partial 16S ribosomal RNA". The record is from RNAcentral. Lineage: Eukaryota; Metazoa; Chordata; Amphibia; Anura; Microhylidae.
UAGAGAUAGCUGGUUACUCGGGAAAAGGAUCUUAGUCCAACUUUAAAUCUCAACAUAACCCUUAAUAUACCCAUAGAUUUAAAUUUUAUUCAAAUAAGGUACAGCCUAUUUGAAACAGGGUACAACCCCCCAGGUCGGGUAAUGUUUUAACCACAUAACAAAGUAGGCCUAAGAGCAGCCACCUUCCAAAAAGCGUCAUAGCUUAACUAUUUUUCCACCAAUCCCAACCCCCGCUCAAACCCCCCCAACCCCACCGAGUGACUCCAUACUAAUAUGGAUAACCCAAUGUUAGAACUAGUAACAGGAACCACAUUCUCCCCAAAGUAAGUGCAAGCCGGAUUGAACCCCUCACCGGCACCUACCGUCAAUGAACCCCUAGUAAUAACCCCACAAGAAAACCUUACUUACCCUGACGUUAACCUAACACCAGAACUUUUGAGGAAAGAUUUAAAAGGCAGGAAGGAACUCGGCAAAUAUAAACCCCGCCUGUUUACCAA